AGAGUUUGAUCCUGGCUCAGGAUGAACGCUGGCGGCGUGCCUAACACAUGCAAGUCGAGCGAUCUUCUUCGGAAGAGAGCGGCGGACGGGUGAGUAACGCGUGGGUAACCUGCCCUGUACACACGGAUAACAUACCGAAAGGUAUGCUAAUACGAGAUAAUAUGCUUUUGUCGCAUGGUAGAAGUAUCAAAGCUCCGGCGGUGCAGGAUGGACCCGCGUCUGAUUAGCUAGUUGGUAAGGUAACGGCUUACCAAGGCGACGAUCAGUAGCCGACCUGAGAGGGUGAUCGGCCACAUUGGAACUGAGACACGGUCCAAACUCCUACGGGAGGCAGCAGUGGGGAAUAUUGCACAAUGGGCGAAAGCCUGAUGCAGCAACGCCGCGUGAGCGAUGAAGGCCUUCGGGUCGUAAAGCUCUGUCCUCAAGGAAGAUAAUGACGGUACUUGAGGAGGAAGCCCCGGCUAACUACGUGCCAGCAGCCGCGGUAAUACGUAGGGGGCUAGCGUUAUCCGGAAUUACUGGGCGUAAAGGGUGCGUAGGUGGUUUCUUAAGUCAGUGGUGAAAGGCUACGGCUCAACCGUAGUAAGCCUUUGAAACUGGGAAACUUGAGUGCAGGAGAGGAGAGUGGAAUUCCUAGUGUAGCGGUGAAAUGCGUAGAUAUUAGGAGGAACACCAGUUGCGAAGGCGGCUCUCUGGACUGUAACUGACACUGAGGCACGAAAGCGUGGGGAGCAAACAGGAUUAGAUACCCUGGUAGUCCACGCCGUAAACGAUGAGUACUAGCUGUCGGAGGUUACCCCCUUCGGUGGCGCAGCU
This 816-nucleotide ribosomal RNA is filed under the name uncultured bacterium. Its description in RNAcentral is "bacterial SSU rRNA". It matches the Rfam family "Bacterial small subunit ribosomal RNA", at positions 8 to 853 of the family's 1533-position model. The record is from RNAcentral.